RNAcentral lists this ribosomal RNA (1065 nucleotides) under Staphylococcus aureus. RNAcentral's name for it is "partial 23S ribosomal RNA". It matches the Rfam family "Bacterial large subunit ribosomal RNA", at positions 231 to 1299 of the family's 2925-position model. Lineage: Bacteria; Bacillati; Bacillota; Bacilli; Caryophanales; Staphylococcaceae. The record is from RNAcentral.
UCGAUUCCCUUAGUAGCGGCGAGCGAAACGGGAAGAGCCCAAACCAACAAGCUUGCUUGUUGGGGUUGUAGGACACUCUAUACGGAGUUACAAAGGACGACAUUAGACGAAUCAUCUGGAAAGAUGAAUCAAAGAAGGUAAUAAUCCUGUAGUCGAAAAUGUUGUCUCUCUUGAGUGGAUCCUGAGUACGACGGAGCACGUGAAAUUCCGUCGGAAUCUGGGAGGACCAUCUCCUAAGGCUAAAUACUCUCUAGUGACCGAUAGUGAACCAGUACCGUGAGGGAAAGGUGAAAAGCACCCCGGAAGGGGAGUGAAAUAGAACCUGAAACCGUGUGCUUACAAGUAGUCAGAGCCCGUUAAUGGGUGAUGGCGUGCCUUUUGUAGAAUGAACCGGCGAGUUACGAUUUGAUGCAAGGUUAAGCAGUAAAUGUGGAGCCGUAGCGAAAGCGAGUCUGAAUAGGGCGUUUAGUAUUUGGUCGUAGACCCGAAACCAGGUGAUCUACCCUUGGUCAGGUUGAAGUUCAGGUAACACUGAAUGGAGGACCGAACCGACUUACGUUGAAAAGUGAGCGGAUGAACUGAGGGUAGCGGAGAAAUUCCAAUCGAACCUGGAGAUAGCUGGUUCUCUCCGAAAUAGCUUUAGGGCUAGCCUCAAGUGAUGAUUAUUGGAGGUAGAGCACUGUUUGGACGAGGGGCCCCUCUCGGGUUACCGAAUUCAGACAAACUCCGAAUGCCAAUUAAUUUAACUUGGGAGUCAGAACAUGGGUGAUAAGGUCCGUGUUCGAAAGGGAAACAGCCCAGACCACCAGCUAAGGUCCCAAAAUAUAUGUUAAGUGGAAAAGGAUGUGGCGUUGCCCAGACAACUAGGAUGUUGGCUUAGAAGCAGCCAUCAUUUAAAGAGUGCGUAAUAGCUCACUAGUCGAGUGACACUGCGCCGAAAAUGUACCGGGGCUAAACAUAUUACCGAAGCUGUGGAUUGUCCUUUGGACAAUGGUAGGAGAGCGUUCUAAGGGCGUUGAAGCAUGAUCGUAAGGACAUGUGGAGCGCUUAGAAGUGAGAAUGCCG